UACGUAGGGUACGAGCGUUAAUCGGAAUUACUGGGCGUAAAGCGUGCGCAGGCGGCUUUGCAAGACAGAUGUGCAAUCCCCGGGCUCAACCUGGGAACUGCAUUUGUGACUGCAAGGCUAGAGUACGGCAGAGGGGGAUGGAAUUCCGCGUGUAGCAGUGAAAUGCGUAGAUAUGCGGAGGAACACCAAUGGCGAAGGCAAUCCCCUGGGCCUGUACUGACGCUCAUGCACGAAAGCGUGGGGAGCAAA
Molecule: ribosomal RNA, 249 nt
Filed under: uncultured bacterium
Lineage: Bacteria
Description: partial 16S ribosomal RNA
Rfam family: Bacterial small subunit ribosomal RNA
Source: RNAcentral